AACGAACGCUGGCGGCGCGCCUAAUACAUGCAAGUCGAGCGAGAAGGUGUAGCAAUACACUUGUAAAGCGGCGAACGGGUGAGGAAUGCAUGGGUAACCUACCCUCGAGUGGGGAAUAACUAGCCGAAAGGUUAGCUAAUACCGCAUACGUUUCCGGAACUUCGGUUUCGGAAAGAAAGCAAUACCGUGGGUAUUGCGCUCCUGGAUGGGCUCAUGUCCUAUCAGCUUGUUGGUGAGGUAACGGCUCACCAAGGCUUCGACGGGUAGCUGGUCUGAGAGGACGAUCAGCCACACUGGCACUGCGACACGGGCCAGACUCCUACGGGAGGCAGCAGUAAGGAAUAUUGCGCAAUGGACGAAAGUCUGACGCAGCGACGCCGCGUGGGGGGAUGAAGGUCUUCGGAUUGUAAACCCCUUUCGGGAGGGAAGGAUGGAGUGGGUAACCACUUGGACGGUACCUCCACGAAGGCAGCCACGGCUAACUUCGUGCCAGCAGCCGCGGUAAU
This 506-nucleotide ribosomal RNA is filed under the name uncultured bacterium. Its description in RNAcentral is "bacterial SSU rRNA". It matches the Rfam family "Bacterial small subunit ribosomal RNA", at positions 29 to 524 of the family's 1533-position model. The record is from RNAcentral.